RNAcentral lists this ribosomal RNA (464 nucleotides) under Vreelandella stevensii. Its description in RNAcentral is "partial 16S ribosomal RNA". It matches the Rfam family "Bacterial small subunit ribosomal RNA", at positions 339 to 795 of the family's 1533-position model. The record is from RNAcentral. Lineage: Bacteria; Pseudomonadati; Pseudomonadota; Gammaproteobacteria; Oceanospirillales; Halomonadaceae.
CCUCGGGAGGCAGCAGUGGGGAAUAUUGGACAAUGGGCGAAAGCCUGAUCCAGCCAUGCCGCGUGUGUGAAGAAGGCCUUCGGGUUGUAAAGCACUUUCAGUGGGGAAGAAAGCCUUGGGGCUAAUACCCUCGAGGAAGGACAUCACCCACAGAAGAAGCACCGGCUAACUCCGUGCCAGCAGCCGCGGUAAUACGGAGGGUGCGAGCGUAAAUCGGAAUUACUGGGCGUAAAGCGCGCGUAGGCGGUCUGAUAAGCCGGUUGUGAAAGCCCCGGGCUCAACCUGGGAACGGCAUCCGGAACUGUCAGGCUAGAGUGCAGGAGAGGAAGGUAGAAUUCCCGGUGUAGCGGUGAAAUGCGUAGAGAUCGGGAGGAAUACCAGUGGCGAAGGCGGCCUUCUGGACUGACACUGACGCUGAGGUGCGAAAGCGUGGGUAGCAAACAGGAUUAGAUACCCCGGUAGUC